AAGAAUGUUUCUCAAUUAAAGAUCUGAGGGUGACAGUUGGAUUGGGACAUGCAAACUGUUUGAAGGUUAUUGAAGGUACCUAGCACACGAUAGUUGUUGGCUCCCAGGGAGAGGUUGGAUGAGGGUCAGGACAUAUCACAUAAGGCCUGUCAAUCAAAAAUUUGCAAGACUUUUGUUUAAUAUCUAGAGAGAUUGGCCCUUAUGAGAUAAAGAAUAAUUGGUCACUUGAUUCCCCCUUAGAGACACUUCAUUAAUUCCCUCAAUUUAUUUGUUUCCCUUUUGUUUUUUAGCUAAACCAGUGCAACUAUUUUUCUAAUAUUCUUUAUAUUCAAAGUAUGUAAAUUGAGAAAUUAAGGGAGAACCUAUAAGAAACAUUUUGUAAGGGCAGUCUCCUGCUCUUGCUCAGUAGGAUUUAAUAUAGUUUUAUUGUCAACUCUAACUUUACUCUUUUUCUAUGUGAAAUAUCACAUAUUUAUUCUCCACUUUGUGCUGUUCACCAGAAAGGAUCUCUCUCUUGCAUCUCUCCUAGCUACAUUCCACUUUUGCACUUACCUGAAUCUUUUGCAUAUGGUAGUUGGAAGCUAAGGGAAGAGGGGUCAUUCUCUCAAGUUCUGGUUAAGCUGCGGUCUUAGGGAGGCGCUGUAAACACGAGUCCCCGAUGUGAGGCUUUCACAAACAUACUUGCCCCUCCUCCAAAGGUAAUGCUGGGCUUCGAACCGAUUCUGCCGUUCUCAAGGCACAGGUUUUUUUUUCCUCUUCCUUCCUCUCUUGCAACCACAGUGGAUUCCCAUCUGUGCCCUCAAGCAACAGGUUUUGAUGAUCUUGCACUUUAAGGCUUUGUUCCACAUGGGAGUAAGAGAAGAUGACACUGAGUGGAUAUUAGGCAGCGGAUGCUGUUUCACUUCCCAGACAGAACCAUGAGAGAAGCUUUCCGAGGGUUUUGUCCAGUCUUCCCUGUGAGCACCUGGUGGGGUUCUUGAGGAAGAGGUUGCAAAAGGAUACAAAAUUACAUUUGCCUGUAUCCCCACGAGGCUUCCAGCUCUCAUGUUCACCCAUACUCAGACUUUAGCAAUUAUUUAAAAUUUUCUGGUUGCUGCUUCUUACCAGCUUAUAUUGCCACUACGUAUCUUAUGUCUCAGUCAGGGUUUGAGAAAUUCCACAGACAUUGAAUUCCAACUAAAUCUAUGUAGACCACUGCAACAGCCAUGAGGAUCUAGAUAUGCUGAGAUCAAGCUCUUUAUGACAUGACUGACCAGGCUACACAACCUCUUCUUGAUCCAGGAGGAAUGAUCAAAUUGAUAAACGAAAUUGAUGCUGAAAAAAAGAAGAACAGUCAAGAAGCAAUUGAAAAGGCUAAAGUUAGUAGGUAUAGAAAUUGGAAAAAAGAAAAAAGAGAGAGAAGGGAUGAAUAUCAGAGAGCAUUUUGUGGGGGAAAUUAUAGGGGAAAAAAAAGAAGGAAUCCUCAGCGUGAAUCCAGAAAACAAGGAGCUUCAAUGAUGACCCUAAUGUGAAGGAUGAACAAUCAUGACAGGAGCAAGAAAAACAGGGGUGCCCCACUUGGCAAUAAAGGAGACCUCAUGAAUUGGAUAUCUGAGCACCGGAUGCACAAAAGUAAUCAGAAAUCAGAGGAACUUCUAAAGAAAGCUAUUAUCAUAAUUUUAUUCUUCAAAUUUUAACGUGAAAACAUUUAUUUGAUCUCUUUAGGUUUGUUAAUAAAGACUGUAUAAAAUGUAUUUGAUUG
RNAcentral lists this long non-coding RNA (1741 nucleotides) under Equus asinus (donkey). Its description in RNAcentral is "lncRNA (ENSEASG00005035071.1)". Lineage: Eukaryota; Metazoa; Chordata; Mammalia; Perissodactyla; Equidae. The record is from RNAcentral.